This 645-nucleotide ribosomal RNA is filed under the name uncultured bacterium. RNAcentral's name for it is "bacterial SSU rRNA". It matches the Rfam family "Bacterial small subunit ribosomal RNA", at positions 232 to 873 of the family's 1533-position model. The record is from RNAcentral.
CGCGGCCUAUCAGCUUGUUGGUGGGGUAGUGGCCUACCAAGGCGACGACGGGUAGCCGGCCUGAGAGGGUGACCGGCCACACUGGGACUGAGAUACGGCCCAGACUCCUACGGGAGGCAGCAGUGGGGAAUAUUGCACAAUGGGCGCAAGCCUGAUGCAGCGACGCCGCGUGGGGGAUGACGGCCUUCGGGUUGUAAACCUCUUUCACCAUCGGCGAAGCCGGGAGCUUUUGUUUCUGGUGACGGUAGGUGGAGAAGAAGCACCGGCCAACUACGUGCCAGCAGCCGCGGUAAUACGUAGGGUGCGAGCGUUGUCCGGAAUUACUGGGCGUAAAGAGCUCGUAGGUGGUUUGUCGCGUUGUCCGUGAAAUUCCCUGGCUUAACUGGGGGCGUGCGGGCGAUACGGGCAGACUGGGGUACUGCAGGGGAGACUGGAAUUCCUGGUGUAGCGGUGGAAUGCGCAGAUAUCAGGAGGAACACCGGUGGCGAAGGCGGGUCUCUGGGCAGUAACUGACGCUGAGGAGCGAAAGCGUGGGGAGCGAACAGGAUUAGAUACCCUGGUAGUCCACGCCGUAAACGGUGGGUACUAGGUGUGGGUUUCCUUCCUUGGGAUCCGUGCCGUAGCUAACGCAUUAAGUACCCCGCC